UGAAGCCGGAGUUGCUAGUAAUGGCAGGUCAGCAUACUGCCGUGAAUACGUUCCCGGGCCUUGUACACACCGCCCGUCACACCAUGAGAGUUGGGGAUACCCGAAGCCUGUGAGCUAACUUUAUAAGGAGCAGCAGUCGAAGGUAGAAUCAAUGAUUGGGGUGAAGUCGUAACAAGGUAUC
This 181-nucleotide ribosomal RNA is filed under the name uncultured bacterium. RNAcentral's name for it is "partial 16S ribosomal RNA". It matches the Rfam family "Bacterial small subunit ribosomal RNA", at positions 1321 to 1500 of the family's 1533-position model. The record is from RNAcentral.